AGGACGAACGCUGGCGGCGUGCUUAACACAUGCAAGUCGAACGGUGACCUCGGAGCUUGCUCCGGGCGAUCAGUGGCGAACGGGUGAGUAACACGUGAGCAACCUGCCCCUGGCUCUGGGAUAACCCCGGGAAACCGGAGCUAAUACCGGAUACGAGACCGAAUGGCAUCUUUAACGGUCUGGAAAGUUUUUCGGCCAGGGAUGGGCUCGCGGCCUAUCAGCUUGUUGGCGGGGUAAUGGCCCACCAAGGCGACGACGGGUAGCCGGCCUGAGAGGGCGACCGGCCACACUGGGACUGAGACACGGCCCAGACUCCUACGGGAGGCAGCAGUGGGGAAUAUUGCGCAAUGGGCGAAAGCCUGACGCAGCGACGCCGCGUGAGGGAUGAAGGCCUUCGGGUUGUAAACCUCUUUCAGCAGGAAGAAGCGAAAGUGACGGUACCUGCAGAAGAAGCACCGGCUAACUACGUGUCAGCAGCCGC
RNAcentral lists this ribosomal RNA (481 nucleotides) under uncultured soil bacterium. RNAcentral describes it as "bacterial SSU rRNA". It matches the Rfam family "Bacterial small subunit ribosomal RNA", at positions 26 to 518 of the family's 1533-position model. The record is from RNAcentral.